CCUACGGGGGGCUGCAGUGAGGAAUAUUGGUCAAUGGGCGGGAGCCUGAACCAGCCAAGUCGCGUGAGGGACGACGGUCCUAUGGAUUGUAAACCUCUUUUGUCGGGGAACAAAGGCGCCCACGGGUGGGCGGAUGAGUGUACCCGAAGAAAAAGCAUCGGCUAACUCCGUGCCAGCAGCCGCGGUAAUACGGAGGAUGCGAGCGUUAUCCGGAUUUAUUGGGUUUAAAGGGUGCGUAGGCGGAACAUUAAGUCAGCGGUAAAAUCGAGGGGCUCAACCCCUUUAAGCCGUUGAAACUGGUGAUCUUGAGUGGGCGAGAGGUAUGCGGAAUGCGUGGUGUAGCGGUGAAAUGCAUAGAUAUCACGCAGAACUCCGAUUGCGAAGGCAGCAUACCGGCGCCCGACUGACGCUGAGGCACGAAAGCGUGGGUAUCGAACAGGAUUAGAUACCCGGGUAGUC
RNAcentral lists this ribosomal RNA (459 nucleotides) under uncultured bacterium. RNAcentral describes it as "partial 16S ribosomal RNA". It matches the Rfam family "Bacterial small subunit ribosomal RNA", at positions 338 to 795 of the family's 1533-position model. The record is from RNAcentral.